GAGUCCUUCCUUUUGAACUCUAUCAAGGAUUCAGCUGCUGCCAUGGCGGUGGCCAGGUCUUACACCCCUCUUCGUUGGAGUUCCAUUUUGGCCCAUGGGGAGAGACCAUCAAGGAAACAGAAGAGAGCAUCCUUCUCCCCCAUAUCAGGUAUCUCCAACAUUAAUUCAGAAAAUUCUUUGACAUAGUCGCGAAUGUUACCUUCUUUAUGUUGGAGGUGUCGAAGCUUGGCGCGUGCCUCGCUUUUAGCAUUUUCUGGAUAUAAUUGCCUCUUCAGCUCCUUGGUGAAGUCUUCCCAAGUGUUAAUGGUGCAAGUCC
RNAcentral lists this long non-coding RNA (316 nucleotides) under Manihot esculenta (cassava). Its description in RNAcentral is "long non-coding RNA (MESC_LNC012175)". The record is from RNAcentral. Lineage: Eukaryota; Viridiplantae; Streptophyta; Magnoliopsida; Malpighiales; Euphorbiaceae.